UCCUCGCUCUCCCUCGAAGUCUGGCGGCUCUCUCUCCCUCGUCCCCUUCGACCGGCGGCGGCCUGUCGCCAUGGCCGGAGAAACUCCGCCGCCUCGAGCCCUCGAUUAGAUAGGGUUCAGCCUCGGUAGUUGCUCCGCUCGCUCCCUCGCAGCCUCGCUCCGCCCUCCCUUGUCCCCUUCGACCGGCGGCCCGGCGCCAUGGCCGGAGAAACUACGCUGCCUCUCCCUCCCCUCAAUCGACCGCCCCUCCCUCCGCGCCCCUACUCCCUCUACGGCCAAGAUCUGUGGGGAGCUACCGAAGAAGAUUGGAAAGAAGAUCCCUGCAGAAAUAUGGUCAACUCGUCAUUGCUAGACACAAGAAAAUUGAAUCUGUAAUCUUUUAUUUAAGGUCCAGAUUAAGUAAAAGUACAACACCACACCACCAAUUGAAUUGCCUCCAUUUUGUGCGAAGGCCUAUCAACACCAUUGAUCUGCUUUUAUGCUUUUGAUCCCACAAGAAAAGGUAGUUAUUCUGAAAUUUCUAUGGUGUGCUAGAGAAGUCUGCACGACACUAGUAUUCCGAUAGAGAUUGGAGAAACCAAGUUACUCGCCGCCGUGUCCGCCCGUCUUUCGCACCGGAGCGGGGGGAAUGGAAGAAGUCCGAGGGCGCGCGCAAGCGCAGCGCCCGCCGGUGGAUGAACUG
Long non-coding RNA from Lolium rigidum, 682 nucleotides. RefSeq lists it as uncharacterized. The record is from RefSeq and is a predicted model, not a curated record. Lineage: Eukaryota; Viridiplantae; Streptophyta; Magnoliopsida; Poales; Poaceae. The transcript is spliced from 3 exons.